AGGGUUUGAUUAUGGCUCAGGAUGAACGCUGGCGGCGUGCUUAACACAUGCAAGUCGAACGGGGUACCCUUGAUGGAGGCUUCGGCCAACAGAGAGGACUACCUAGUGGCGGACGGGUGAGUAACGCGUGAGGAACCUGCCUUGGAGUGGGGAAUAACAGCCCGAAAGGGUUGCUAAUACCGCAUAAAGCAAUAUGAUCGCAUGAUUGAAUUGCCAAAGAUUUAUCGCUCUGAGAUGGCCUCGCGUCUGAUUAGCUAGUUGGCGGGGUAACGGCCCACCAAGGCGACGAUCAGUAGCCGGACUGAGAGGUUGACCGGCCACAUUGGGACUGAGACACGGCCCAG
This 344-nucleotide ribosomal RNA is filed under the name uncultured bacterium. RNAcentral describes it as "bacterial SSU rRNA". It matches the Rfam family "Bacterial small subunit ribosomal RNA", at positions 8 to 334 of the family's 1533-position model. The record is from RNAcentral.